AAGGUUUCCGUAGGUGAACCUGCGGAAGGAUCAUUGUCGUUUGCUCGGAAAAACACGACCCCUGUGCACGUAACCUAAUCAACCUAUGCCGGGGAGGCAUGCCUCCUCGGCCCACCGGCCGCGGUCCUCACCCGGGCCGUGCGUCGGGAAUUCGGCGCGGUCUGCGCCAAGGAACACGAGAUGCUGAGGCGGCCGGCGGAGCGUGCUCUGCCCGCCGCCGACGCAAAGGAAUACAUGAUGACUCUCGGCAACGGAUAUCUCGGCUCUCGCAUCGAUGAAGAACGUAGCGAAAUGCGAUACGUGGUGUGAAUUGCAGAAUCCCGCGAACCAUCGAGUCUUUGAACGCAAGUUGCGCCCGAGGGAUCCGCCCAAGGGCACGCCUGCCUGGGCGUUAGAAGCCCAUCCACGCUCGGUGCUCACUCAGCCCCGAUGCGGAUCGUGGCCCUCCGAGCCCAAGCGGCGCGGUGGGCCUAAUUGCGCGGCCGCCGAGAGGAGUCGGGAGCGGCGAGUGGUGGAACGCUGCGUUCGCCGCCCCGUGCCCCUCUGCCGGCGCGUGGCCUUGACCGACCCAUAAACGAGGAGCCGUGCCCACAGCGGCAGGGGCCCUUCGGAUCGAUACCCCAGGUCAGGCGGGGCUACCCGCCCAUAUAGAAAAACCCCA
RNAcentral lists this ribosomal RNA (661 nucleotides) under Schoenus racemosus. RNAcentral describes it as "eukaryotic LSU rRNA". The stretch from base 240 to 394 matches the Rfam family "5.8S ribosomal RNA". The record is from RNAcentral. Lineage: Eukaryota; Viridiplantae; Streptophyta; Magnoliopsida; Poales; Cyperaceae.